Molecule: ribosomal RNA, 904 nt
Filed under: Lactiplantibacillus plantarum
Lineage: Bacteria; Bacillati; Bacillota; Bacilli; Lactobacillales; Lactobacillaceae
Description: bacterial SSU rRNA
Rfam family: Bacterial small subunit ribosomal RNA
Source: RNAcentral
ACUCUGGUAUUGAUUGGUGCUUGCAUCAUGAUUUACAUUUGAGUGAGUGGCGAACUGGUGAGUAACACGUGGGAAACCUGCCCAGAAGCGGGGGAUAACACCUGGAAACAGAUGCUAAUACCGCAUAACAACUUGGACCGCAUGGUCCGAGUUUGAAAGAUGGCUUCGGCUAUCACUUUUGGAUGGUCCCGCGGCGUAUUAGCUAGAUGGUGGGGUAACGGCUCACCAUGGCAAUGAUACGUAGCCGACCUGAGAGGGUAAUCGGCCACAUUGGGACUGAGACACGGCCCAAACUCCUACGGGAGGCAGCAGUAGGGAAUCUUCCACAAUGGACGAAAGUCUGAUGGAGCAACGCCGCGUGAGUGAAGAAGGGUUUCGGCUCGUAAAACUCUGUUGUUAAAGAAGAACAUAUCUGAGAGUAACUGUUCAGGUAUUGACGGUAUUUAACCAGAAAGCCACGGCUAACUACGUGCCAGCAGCCGCGGUAAUACGUAGGUGGCAAGCGUUGUCCGGAUUUAUUGGGCGUAAAGCGAGCGCAGGCGGUUUUUUAAGUCUGAUGUGAAAGCCUUCGGCUCAACCGAAGAAGUGCAUCGGAAACUGGGAAACUUGAGUGCAGAAGAGGACAGUGGAACUCCAUGUGUAGCGGUGAAAUGCGUAGAUAUAUGGAAGAACACCAGUGGCGAAGGCGGCUGUCUGGUCUGUAACUGACGCUGAGGCUCGAAAGUAUGGGUAGCAAACAGGAUUAGAUACCCUGGUAGUCCAUACCGUAAACGAUGAAUGCUAAGUGUUUGGAGGGUUUCCGCCCUUCAGUGCUGCAGCUAACGCAUUAAGCAUUCCGCCUGGGGGAGUACGGCCGCAAGGCUGAAACUCAAAGGAAUUGACGGGGGCCCGCACAAGCGGUGGA